UCCCCGAUAGCUCAAUUGGUAGAGCGAGCGGCUGUUAACCGCUAGGUCGUAGGUUCGAGCCCUACUCGGGGAGCCA
This 76-nucleotide transfer RNA is filed under the name Phycisphaerae bacterium. RNAcentral's name for it is "tRNA-Asn". It matches the Rfam family "tRNA". Rfam says of the family: Transfer RNA (tRNA) molecules are approximately 80 nucleotides in length. Lineage: Bacteria; Pseudomonadati; Planctomycetota; Phycisphaerae. RNAcentral also lists the same sequence under 2 other names. The record is from RNAcentral.